UGAAGACCGCGGGCAUUCAACUCGCAGUAGUUGAUAUCAUUUCCACGGAAAGCACUUCUGUUUCUGUUUGGUCAUCCUGGUGUUGAGCACGUUGCAGUCUAUGGUGCUCACACGCCUGGCUAAGUGUGGCACUCUCUGGCCCUGCAGCCUCUCCAAGUCCAAAGACUCACUGCUUAAAGACACAGACAAUGAAGACGACUCCAAGUUUGAUUUUAAAGCCUCAGAGGAAGAGAAGAAUACAGCCCUCCAGAAGGUGGUGAAGUUUCUCAACAAAAUGGCUGCACAAGACCAGAAAAAUGCUAUACACCAUCGCUUUGCCAACAAAGUGGACUUGAUCUGUUUCUGUAUCUAUCUCACCAUCCUCAUUGUUUACUCAUUCAUCAUUUUAUUUUUCUCCUUUGGUUCUCGAUGUGAGAUCGACCAUUUACAAUUCUGGCAUUAAAUUCUGUAUUUGCGUUUAACAAUGAUAUUUAAAUAAAUAUAAAGUGUGUACUCUUCAGUAGAGAUUUAACAAUAUUUAUUUCAAUAUGUUUGAGCUAAGAAUUAAAUUGAUUAGGACUAUGCAUCCUACCUAUGAAAUACCUCUGCAUAUCUAUCCAUUUUCCAUUCUUCCUGUGCCAUCCAAAUUCCUGCAUAGCCUACUGGUCAACGUACUGUAGUCAAAAAUAAUGCGAACGAUGACGUUCAGUGAUGAAGAUACGUCUAGCAACUUGCUGGUGCCGAGGCCCAGCAUGAUGACUCAAU
This is a long non-coding RNA of Oncorhynchus tshawytscha (Chinook salmon), 744 nucleotides long. Lineage: Eukaryota; Metazoa; Chordata; Actinopteri; Salmoniformes; Salmonidae. The record is from Ensembl.